UGAAAAGGACCCCGGGAGGGGAGUGAAAGAGAACCUGAAACCUUGUGCUUACAAACAGUCAAAGGACGCAAGUCUGAUGGCGUACUUUUUGUAGAACGGUCCGGCGAGUUACUAAUGCCAGCGAGGUUAAGUGGUCAGAAGCCACGGAGCCGAAGGGAAACCAAGUCUGAAUAGGGCGUAGAGUUGGUAUUAGUAGACCCGAAACCGGGUGACCUAUCCAUGUCCAGGUUGAAGGAACCGUAAAAGGUUUUGGAGGACCGAACACACAUGUGUUGAAAAACGUGGUGAUGAGGUGUGGAUAGCGGAGAAAUUCCAAUCGAACUCGGAGAUAGCUGGUUCUCCUCGAAAUAGCUUUAGGGCUAGCCUCGAGCUGGAGUCUAACGGAGGUAAAGCACUGAACUGACGCGGGGCCCAAAAAGGUUACCAACUCAUAUCAAACUAAGAAUGCCGUCAAGAUACCCUCGGGAGUCAGUCUGCGUGAGAUAAGUCGCGUGGACAAAAGGGAAAGAGCCCAGACCGACAGCUAAGGUCCCAAAGUACGUGUUAAGUGGAAAAGGAUGUGGGAUUUCAUAGACAACUAGGAUGUUGGCUUAGAAGCAGCCAUACAUUUAAAGAGUGCGUAAUAGCUCACUAGUCGAGAAAACCUGCGCCGAAAAUGUAACGGGGCUAAAACACGACACCGAAGCUACGGAUUUCCUACAAGGUAGGAAGUGGUAGAGGAGCAUCCUGCAAGGACGAAGCCAAAGUGAGAGCGAUGGUGGACGAAACAGGAGAGAGAAUGCCGGAAUGAGUAGCGAGAUACAUGUGAGAAACAUGUAGGCCGAAUAUCUAAGGAUUCCUGGGUAAAGCUAAUCUUCCCAGGGUUAGUCGGGGCCUAAGGCGAGGACGAAAGUCGUAGUCGAUGGAUAACAGGUUGAUAUUCCUGUACUACACAUAAUCAGAACUGUGGGGACGCAGGAGGAUAGGGAAACCGGGGAAUGGAAAGACCCGGUCAAGCGUAAAGCUGUGGGAGAUAGGCAAAUCCGUCUCCUGUAAGUGAAACGUGAUGAGGACUGAAAAAAAGUAAGGAAGUUUCCGAAUCCACACUGCCGAGAAAAGCCGCUAUUGCGUUAUGUGUACCCGUACCGUAAACCGACACAGGUAGAUGAGGAGAAAAUCCACAGGCCGACGGGAGAAGUGUUGUUAAGGAACUCGGCAAAAUGACCCCGUAACUUCGGGAUAAGGGGAGCCUCGCAAGAGGCCGCAGAAAAGAGGCACAAGCAACUGUUUAGCAAAAACACAGGUCUAUGCGAAACCGUAAGGUGAAGUAUAUGGGCUGACGCCUGCCCGGUGCUGGAAGGUUAAGAGGAGAGGUUAGCGUAAGCGAAGCUUUGAAUUUAAGCCCCAGUAAACGGCGGCCGUAACUAUAACGGUCCUAAGGUAGCGAAAUUCCUUGUCAGGUAAGUUCUGACCCGCACGAAAGGCGUAAUGAUUUGUGCACUGUCUCGACAACACGCCCGGUGAAAUUGAAGAACCAGUGAAGAUACUGGUUACCCGCAACAGGACGGAAAGACCCCAUGGAGCUUUACUGCAGCCUGAUACUGGGAUUCGAUGAUAUAUGUACAGGAUAGGUGGGAGGCUAAGAAGCGAGAACGCUAGUUUUCGUGGAGCCGCCGGUGGGAUACCACUCUUAUGUCAUUGAAUUUCUAACCUGCAUCCGUAAUCCGGGUGAGGGACAAUGUCAGGCGGGCAGUUUGACUGGGGCGGUCGCCUCCUAAAAGGUAACGGAGGCGCUCGAAGGUCACCUCAGAAUGAUUGGAAACCAUUCAAAGAGUGUAAAGGCAAAAGGUGGCUUGACUGCGAGAGCGACGGCUCGAGCAGGUACGAAAGUAGGACUUAGUGAUCCGGUGGUAAUAAGUGGGAAUGCCAUCGCUCAACGGAUAAAAGCUACCCUGGGGAUAACAGGCUUAUCACUCCCAAGAGUUCACAUCGACGGAGUGGUUUGGCACCUCGAUGUCGGCUCAUCGCAUCCUGGGGCUGUAGCAGGUCCCAAGGGUUGGGCUGUUCGCCCAUUAAAGCGGUACGCGAGCUGGGUUCAGAACGUCGUGAGACAGUUCGGUCCCUAUCCGUUGUGGGCGCAGGAAAUUUGAGAGGAGCUGUCCUUAGUACGAGAGGACCGGGAUGGACGUACCUCUGGUGUACCGGUUGCAGACCAACUGCACAGCCGGGUAGCUAUGUAUGGAACGGAUAAACGCUGAAGGCAUCUAAGCGUGAAGCCGCCCUCAAGAUAAGAUUUCCCAUUCU
RNAcentral lists this ribosomal RNA (2283 nucleotides) under human gut metagenome. RNAcentral describes it as "bacterial LSU rRNA". It matches the Rfam family "Bacterial large subunit ribosomal RNA", at positions 515 to 2820 of the family's 2925-position model. The record is from RNAcentral.